AUCGCUUCUCGGCCUUUUGGCUAAGAUCAAGUGUAGAUUUGUUAAUGAGAUAAUAAGAGCUGAUUCUUAAAUCAUAUUUCUAAAAAAAUAAGUGAUAUAAACUUAC
Molecule: small nuclear RNA, 106 nt
Filed under: Physeter macrocephalus (sperm whale)
Lineage: Eukaryota; Metazoa; Chordata; Mammalia; Artiodactyla; Physeteridae
Description: Physeter catodon (sperm whale) U2 spliceosomal RNA (ENSPCTG00005003589.1)
Rfam family: U2 spliceosomal RNA
About the family: U2 is a small nuclear RNA (snRNA) component of the spliceosome (involved in pre-mRNA splicing).
Source: Rfam by way of RNAcentral